RNAcentral lists this ribosomal RNA (468 nucleotides) under uncultured bacterium. RNAcentral describes it as "partial 16S ribosomal RNA". It matches the Rfam family "Bacterial small subunit ribosomal RNA", at positions 28 to 507 of the family's 1533-position model. The record is from RNAcentral.
GACGAACGCUGGCGGCGUGCUUAACACAUGCAAGUCGAACGGAAAGGCCCUGCUUUUGUGGGGUGCUCGAGUGGCGAACGGGUAAGUAACACGUGAGUAACCUGCCCUUGACUUUGGGAUAACUUCAGGAAACUGGGGCUAAUACCGGAUAGGAGCUCCUGCUGCAUGGUGGGGGUUGGAAAGUUUCGGCGGUUGGGGAUGGACUCGCGGCUUAUCAGCUUGUUGGUGGGGUAGUGGCUUACCAAGGCUUUGACGGGUAGCCGGCCUGAGAGGGUGACCGGCCACAUUGGGACUGAGAUACGGCCCAGACUCCUACGGGAGGCAGCAGUGGGGAAUAUUGCACAAUGGGCGGAAGCCUGAUGCAGCAACACCGCGUGCGGGAUGACGGCCUUCGGGUUGUAAACCGCUUUCGCCUGUGACGAAGCGUGAGUGACGGUAAUGGGUAAAGAAGCACCGGCUAACUACGUG